RNAcentral lists this ribosomal RNA (504 nucleotides) under Triticum aestivum (bread wheat). RNAcentral's name for it is "partial small subunit ribosomal RNA". The record is from RNAcentral. Lineage: Eukaryota; Viridiplantae; Streptophyta; Magnoliopsida; Poales; Poaceae.
AUGCAUGCAUCGAGCAGAAUCAAAAGUCAUGAUGCCGGCGUGGGAUGCAUGCAUGCAGGUUCAAACCCUCUCUUUGGAGCCCUCCACUUGUCAAGCCCUAUCUUUGGCAAGUCUCACGACAUUUGGGUCGAAGGAGAAGGCAUGCUCCAUGCCGUGUACUUCACCAAGAGCAACAACAACACAUGGUCAAUCAAGUACACCAACCGCUACGUGCACUCCGAUACAUUUAGGGUUGAGAAAGGACUGAAGAAACCAUGCUUCCUCCCUGCCAUUGACGGUGACCCUCUUGCGAUGCUCAUAGCCGGUACCCUGAACAUUCUAAGGUUCGGAAAGGCUUUCAAGAACAUGAGCAACACCAGCGUGUUUGAGCAUGCUGGGAGAGUCUUCUCAGCAGCAGAAAAUGAUAACCCCCAUGAGAUUGACUUAUGUAGUCUUGGCACACUAGGUAGCUGGAACGUCGAUGGAGGAUGGAAGAUGCCAUUCACUUUGCACCCCAAGAGGUGA